AAUUUUGCGCAAUGGGGGAAACCCUGACGCAGCAACGCCGCGUGAAGGAUGAAGGCCUUUGGGUCGUAAACUUCUGUCAGAGGGGAAGAAAUGCCCGCAAGGGUGCUGACGGUACCCUCAAAGGAAGCACCGGCUAACUCCGUGCCAGCAGCCGCGGUAAUACGGAGGGUGCAAGCGUUGUUCGGAAUUAUUGGGCGUAAAGCGCAUGUAGGCGGACUUUUAAGUCUGAUGUGAAAGCCCAGGGCUCAACCCUGGAACUGCAUUGGAUACUGGAAGUCUUGAGUAUGGGAGAGGAAAGCGGAAUUCCGAGUGUAGGGGUGAAAUCCGUAGAUAUUCGGAAGAACACCAGUGGCGAAGGCGGCUUUCUGGACCAAUACUGACGCUGAGAUGCGAAAGCGUGGGGAGCGAACAGGAUUAGAUACCCUGGUAGUCCACGCCGUA
RNAcentral lists this ribosomal RNA (441 nucleotides) under uncultured marine bacterium. Its description in RNAcentral is "bacterial SSU rRNA". It matches the Rfam family "Bacterial small subunit ribosomal RNA", at positions 360 to 804 of the family's 1533-position model. The record is from RNAcentral.